GAUCGCAGGCUGCAACCCGCCUGCGUGAAGUUGGAAUCGCUAGUAAUCGCGGAUCAGAAUGCCGCGGUGAAUACGUUCCCGGGUCUUGUACACACCGCCCGUCACACCAUGGGAGUCGGAAAUGCCCGAAGUCUGUGACCUAACCGUAAGGAAGGAGCAGCCGAAGGCAGGUCGGAUGACUGGGGUGAAGUCGUAACAAGGUACC
RNAcentral lists this ribosomal RNA (205 nucleotides) under uncultured bacterium. RNAcentral describes it as "partial 16S ribosomal RNA". It matches the Rfam family "Bacterial small subunit ribosomal RNA", at positions 1296 to 1500 of the family's 1533-position model. The record is from RNAcentral.